CACUAUCGUUAACUGAAUACAUAGGUUAACGAGGCGAACCGGGGGAACUGAAACAUCUAAGUACCCCGAGGAAAAGAAAUCAACCGAGAUUCCCCCAGUAGCGGCGAGCGAACGGGGAGCAGCCCAGAGUCUGAAUCAGCUUGUGUGUUAGUGGAACGGUCUGGAAAGUCCGACGGUACAGGGUGAUAGUCCCGUACACCAAAAUGCACAGGUUGUGAACUCGAAGAGUAGGGCGGGACACGUGGUAUCCUGUCUGAAUAUGGGGGGACCAUCCUCCAAGGCUAAAUACUCCUGACUGACCGAUAGUGAACCAGUACCGUGAGGGAAAGGCGAAAAGAACCCCGGCGAGGGGAGUGAAAAAGAACCUGAAACCGUGUACGUACAAGCAGUGGGAGCACCUUCGGGUGUGACUGCGUACCUUUUGUAUAAUGGGUCAGCGACUUAUAUUCUGUAGCAAGGUUAACCGUAUAGGGGAGCCGCAGGGAAACCGAGUCUUAACUGGGCGUUAAGUUGCAGGGUAUAGACCCGAAACCCGGUGAUCUAGCCAUGGGCAGGUUGAAGGUUGGGUAACACUAACUGGAGGACCGAACCGACUAAUGUUGAAAAAUUAGCGGAUGACUUGUGGCUGGGGGUGAAAGGCCAAUCAAACCGGGAGAUAGCUGGUUCUCCCCGAAAGCUAUUUAGGUAGCGCCUCGUGAAUUCAUCUUCGGGGGUAGAGCACUGUUUCGGCUAGGGGGUCAUCCCGACUUACCAACCCGAUGCAAACUACGAAUACCGAAGAAUGUUAUCACGGGAGACACACGGCGGGUGCUAACGUCCGUCGUGAAGAGGGAAACAACCCAGACCGCCAGCUAAGGUCCCAAAGUCAUGGUUAAGUGGGAAACGAUGUGGGAAGGCACAGACAGCCAGGAUGUUGGCUUAGAAGCAGCCAUCAUUUAAAGAAAGCGUAAUAGCUCACUGGUCGAGUCGGCCUGCGCGGAAGAUGUAACGGGGCUAAACCAUGCACCGAAGCUGCGGCAGCGACACUAUGUGUUGUUGGGUAGGGGAGCGUUCUGUAAGCCUGCGAAGGUGACCUGUGAGGGUUGCUGGAGGUAUCAGAAGUGCGAAUGCUGACAUAAGUAACGAUAAAGCGGGUGAAAAGCCCGCUCGCCGGAAGACCAAGGGUUCCUGUCCAACGUUAAUCGGGGCAGGGUGAGUCGACCCCUAAGGCGAGGCCGAAAGGCGUAGUCGAUGGGAAACAGGUUAAUAUUCCUGUACUUGGUGUUACUGCGAAGGGGGGACGGAGAAGGCUAUGUUAGCCGGGCGACGGUUGUCCCGGUUUAAGCAUGUAGGCUGGUUGUCCAGGCAAAUCCGGAUAAUCAAGGCUGAGGUGUGAUGACGAGGCACUACGGUGCUGAAGUAACAAAUGCCCUGCUUCCAGGAAAAGCCUCUAAGCAUCAGGUAACAUCAAAUCGUACCCCAAACCGACACAGGUGGUCAGGUAGAGAAUACCAAGGCGCUUGAGAGAACUCGGGUGAAGGAACUAGGCAAAAUGGUGCCGUAACUUCGGGAGAAGGCACGCUGGUGUGUAGGUGAAGUCCCUGCGGAUGGAGCUGAGACCAGUCGAAGAUACCAGCUGGCUGCAACUGUUUAUUAAAAACACAGCACUGUGCAAACACGAAAGUGGACGUAUACGGUGUGACGCCUGCCCGGUGCCGGAAGGUUAAUUGAUGGGGUUAUCCGUAAGGAGAAGCUCUUGAUCGAAGCCCCGGUAAACGGCGGCCGUAACUAUAACGGUCCUAAGGUAGCGAAAUUCCUUGUCGGGUAAGUUCCGACCUGCACGAAUGGCGUAAUGAUGGCCAGGCUGUCUCCACCCGAGACUCAGUGAAAUUGAACUCGCUGUGAAGAUGCAGUGUACCCGCGGCAAGACGGAAAGACCCCGUGAACCUUUACUAUAGCUUGACACUGAACAUUGAGCCUUGAUGUGUAGGAUAGGUGGGAGGCUUUGAAGCGUGGACGCCAGUCUGCGUGGAGCCAACCUUGAAAUACCACCCUUUAAUGUUUGAUGUUCUAACGUUGGCCCCUGACCGGGGUUGCGGACAGUGUCUGGUGGGUAGUUUGACUGGGGCGGUCUCCUCCCAAAGCGUAACGGAGGAGCACGAAGGUUAGCUAAUCCUGGUCGGACAUCAGGAGGUUAGUGCAAUGGCAUAAGCUAGCUUGACUGCGAGCGUGACGGCGCGAGCAGGUGCGAAAGCAGGUCAUAGUGAUCCGGUGGUUCUGAAUGGAAGGGCCAUCGCUCAACGGAUAAAAGGUACUCCGGGGAUAACAGGCUGAUACCGCCCAAGAGUUCAUAUCGACGGCGGUGUUUGGCACCUCGAUGUCGGCUCAUCACAUCCUGGGGCUGAAGUAGGUCCCAAGGGUAUGGCUGUUCGCCAUUUAAAGUGGUACGCGAGCUGGGUUUAGAACGUCGUGAGACAGUUCGGUCCCUAUCUGCCGUGGGCGCUGGAGAAUUGAGGGGGGCUGCUCCUAGUACGAGAGGACCGGAGUGGACGCAUCACUGGUGUUCGGGUUGUCAUGCCAAUGGCACUGCCCGGUAGCUAAAUGCGGAAGAGAUAAGUGCUGAAAGCAUCUAAGCACGAAACUUGCCCCGAGAUGAGUUCUCCCUGAGACUUUAAGUCUCCUGAAGGAACGUUGAAGACGACGACGUUGAUAGGCCGGGUGUGUAAGCGCAGCGAUGCGUUGAGCUAACCGGUACUAAUGAACCGUGAGGCUUAACCUU
RNAcentral lists this ribosomal RNA (2758 nucleotides) under Klebsiella pneumoniae. Its description in RNAcentral is "bacterial LSU rRNA". It matches the Rfam family "Bacterial large subunit ribosomal RNA". Lineage: Bacteria; Pseudomonadati; Pseudomonadota; Gammaproteobacteria; Enterobacterales; Enterobacteriaceae. The record is from RNAcentral. RNAcentral also lists the same sequence under 1 other name.